RNAcentral lists this ribosomal RNA (253 nucleotides) under uncultured bacterium. RNAcentral's name for it is "partial 16S ribosomal RNA". It matches the Rfam family "Bacterial small subunit ribosomal RNA", at positions 524 to 776 of the family's 1533-position model. The record is from RNAcentral.
UACGGGGGGGGCAAGCGUUGUUCGGAAUUACUGGGCGUAAAGGGCUCGUAGGCGGCCAACUAAGUCAAACGUGAAAUCCCCGGGCUCAACCCGGGAACUGCGUCCGAUACUGGCAGGCUUGAAUCCGGGAGAGGGAUGCGGAAUUCCAGGUGUAGCGGUGAAAUGCGUAGAUAUCUGGAGGAACACCGGUGGCGAAGGCGGCAUCCUGGACCGGCAUUGACGCUGAGGCGCGAAAGCCAGGGGAGCAAACGGG